GUUACAGAAGUAGAGGAAGGCAAAUGCAUCCAGCUGGAGGAGUCAUAUGCUGUGUCAGGAAGUGAUAAUUUACACUCCAGCUGGUGAUCGAUCAUCUCAGAAUGGUGCAUGAGGUGAGCUGACAACGGCAGCCAGGGGAAGGAACGCGAGGGCCCAGGAUGGAAAUGAGAGCUUCAAAUGUGAGAACACAUUCCAGCUGCAGGAUCAGAGGACUUUUCCUACAGCCCAUAAGUGCCUGCAGCUCUAUCGGAUUUGCAAAUCUACAAAAGAGAGCACAUCCUAUUGUUCCCGGUUUUGAGUUUUUUUAAUAGUAUGUCUUGUAAAAUGCUGGUUGCUGGUGGACAGGGGUGUUUUACAGAUAGGUGUGACUCAGGAGGGGAAAUGGGUGGGCAGAGACAGCCACAAGGAAUUCCACACAUGAAGGAAAUGCUCCCACUUGUGUUUUCUAUUUGUGUUUUAAAUUUGGGGAGCGACUCACAGGCACUCAGCAAAAGUAACUAAUUAUAUUAACCUUAUCAGUAGUGAGGUUUCCUGGUCUCUCAUCAGACACUCAGCUCACUGGCUGGUAUUUAAUUGGGAGCCUGGUGGCCAGUGAAAACAGUGUGGGAUGAGUCACACUUUAACAAGUUUUUAUAGUACAGCAACCUUGCUGUAUAAUAGCCAGACAUUAUUAAAAUUCAGAUAUGGUACACUGACUUGUUUGUUUUCCUUAUUCACAUGAAACAGAUGCUCAGGACUCAUUUUACUUACACACAGUAAAUGAGGGUCAGCUGUGUUGAGGGAAGUGAG
This 789-nucleotide long non-coding RNA is filed under the name Homo sapiens (human). RNAcentral's name for it is "PREDICTED lncRNA (TCONS_00265909)". Lineage: Eukaryota; Metazoa; Chordata; Mammalia; Primates; Hominidae. The record is from RNAcentral.